Pistacia vera is the source of this 138-nucleotide long non-coding RNA. RefSeq lists it as uncharacterized. NCBI's taxonomy places the organism in Eukaryota, Viridiplantae, Streptophyta, Magnoliopsida, Sapindales, Anacardiaceae. The transcript has 3 exons. The record is from RefSeq and is a predicted model, not a curated record.
GCAUAGUGAGGAUGCUUAAGGGAUUGUCAAACAGGAGGACAGGUGCAACUAGUAUAAAUGCAGAAAGCUCACGCUCACAUAGUGUUUUCACUUGUGUUGUUGAAUCUCGAUGCAAGGUAAUAACUGCUGCAAUUUAAA